AUUGAACGCUGGCGGCAGGCCUAACACAUGCAAGUCGAGCGAGCGGCGGACGGGUGAGUAAUGUAUGGGGAACUGCCCGAUAGAGGGGGAUAAAUACUGGAAACGGUGGCUAAUACCGCAUACUAUCGGAUGUACCCAUAUGGGAUUAGCGAGUAGGUGGGGUAACGGCUCACCUAGGCGACGAUCUCUAGCUGGUCUGAGAGGAUGACCAGCCACACUGGGACUGAGACACGGCCCAGACUCCUACGGGAGGCAGCAGUGGGGAAUAGUGCACAAUGGGAGAAAGCCUGAUGCAGCCAUGCCGCGUGUAUGAAGAAGGCCUUCGGGUUGUAAAGUACUUUCAGCGGGGAGGCGUUACCCGCAGAAGAAGCACCGGCUAACUCCGUGCCAGCAGCCGCGGUAAUAC
RNAcentral lists this ribosomal RNA (406 nucleotides) under uncultured bacterium. RNAcentral describes it as "partial 16S ribosomal RNA". It matches the Rfam family "Bacterial small subunit ribosomal RNA", at positions 30 to 526 of the family's 1533-position model. The record is from RNAcentral.